UUUUUUAAUGGCCGCGGUAUAUUGACCGUGCAAAGGUAGCAUAAUCAUUAGUUUAUUAAUUGUGAACUGGUAUGAAUGGUUUGACGAAAUAUUAACUGUCUCUUAUAUAUAUAUGUUGAAUUUAAAUUUUGAGUUAAAAUGCUUAAAUUUUUUAUAGGACGAGAAGACCCUAUAGAUCUUUAUUAUUCAUUUUAUAUUUUUUUUAGUUUUAUUUAUAUUUAAAUGGAUUUUUUUGUUGGGGUGACAUGGGGAUAAUUAUGUACUUUAACUCCUUAUUUUUUAUUACAAUUAUUUUUGGAUUUUUGAUUUUAUUUUAAUUAUAUAAGAUUAGAUACCUUAGGGAUAACAGCGUAAUUUUUUUUGAGAGUUCAUAUUGACAUUAAAGAUUGCGACCUCGAUGUUGGAUUAAGAUUAAUAUUAGGUGCAGGAGCUUAAUUUAUAGGUCUGUUCGACCUUUAAAUUCUUACAUGAUCUGAGU
This 478-nucleotide ribosomal RNA is filed under the name Carausius sp. SB0553. RNAcentral describes it as "partial large subunit ribosomal RNA". It matches the Rfam family "Bacterial large subunit ribosomal RNA", at positions 1920 to 2610 of the family's 2925-position model. The record is from RNAcentral. Lineage: Eukaryota; Metazoa; Arthropoda; Insecta; Phasmatodea; Lonchodidae.